RNAcentral lists this transfer RNA (72 nucleotides) under Crossaster papposus. RNAcentral describes it as "tRNA-Ile". It matches the Rfam family "tRNA". Rfam says of the family: Transfer RNA (tRNA) molecules are approximately 80 nucleotides in length. Their secondary structure includes four short double-helical elements and three loops (D, anti-codon, and T loops). Lineage: Eukaryota; Metazoa; Echinodermata; Asteroidea; Velatida; Solasteridae. The record is from RNAcentral.
GAGUUUGUUCCUUAGAGUAAGGACAUCUAGCUGAUAAUUAGAUUGGUGAAGGUUAAAUUCCUUUCAAACUUU